CUCAGCCCGAGGCCAUUAGUAACUAGCUGGUAAACAUUGUGCAGAAUUUGGCAGCUUAAGAGCCAGAUAUUUCCUUCAGAAGUCGGUGGAGACUAAAACAGAGCUC
This is a long non-coding RNA of Etheostoma spectabile (orangethroat darter), 106 nucleotides long. RefSeq lists it as uncharacterized. The transcript has 3 exons. Lineage: Eukaryota; Metazoa; Chordata; Actinopteri; Perciformes; Percidae. The record is from RefSeq and is a predicted model, not a curated record.